RNAcentral lists this ribosomal RNA (250 nucleotides) under uncultured bacterium. Its description in RNAcentral is "partial 16S ribosomal RNA". It matches the Rfam family "Bacterial small subunit ribosomal RNA", at positions 524 to 773 of the family's 1533-position model. The record is from RNAcentral. RNAcentral also lists the same sequence under 1 other name.
UACGUAUGGGGCAAGCGUUAUCCGGAUUCAUUGGGCGUAAAGCGCGCGUAGGCGGCUUGUUAAGCGAGGAGUGAAAUCUGGGGGCUCAACCCGCAGCUUGCUUCUCGAACUGGCAGGCUUGAGUCUGGUAGAGGAAAGUGGAAUUCCUGGUGUAGCGGUGAAAUGCGCAGAUAUCAGGAGGAACACCAGUGGCGAAGGCGGCUUUCUGGGCCACGACUGACGCUGAGGCGCGAAAGCUAGGGGAGCGAAC